Molecule: RNA transcript, 2911 nt
Organism: Hypanus sabinus (Atlantic stingray)
Lineage: Eukaryota; Metazoa; Chordata; Chondrichthyes; Myliobatiformes; Dasyatidae
Gene name: zinc finger protein 135-like
Exons: 2
Source: RefSeq, a predicted model, not a curated record
AUCACGCAUGCGCGCAGCACACGAGGCCUGGAAAAUGUCGGUUGAAGACUUCGGGAUAAUUCCUUUGAAUUUCGGACACCGUGGCCAGCAAUCCCGGCACAGUCCUGCUCUCUUCCCUCUCUCUCAGCCCCACGAUCCGUACACGGGCCCCGGGGAGCUUCCGGCUGAUGAGGGAAUGGGAACCGAUGGAUCUCUCAGACAGAGCUGAGCUCCAGCUAUCUAAAUGCAAGGAUUAGGAACUCGGAGAAAGGGAACAAAACUUAUCAAUCACCCAUCUGUGGACACUCUCUGGAGGUGCAAGAUCCAUACGCUCCACGACCGCUGGACUAAGUGUGUAAAUGUAGGAGUGGACUAUGUUGAAAAAUAGAUGUGCUGGAUUUUCUAAAAUUGUCUCCUUCUACCUUAGGCCACAAACUUAUCUAUCACCCCUUUUAUUUAUAUAUAGCAGUAUAACAUUAGAUGAUCAUCACCAUAAGAUGAAAGUUUAAAUCUUAGCCUUUGUUUUAAAUUAGUACUUAGUCUUUCCUGUGAUUAGAAAAUAGGGAUAAAGUAUGGUGAGGUACAUUGCUAGCAUUGUAGAUUAGCAAAGAUUCUACUUUGGAUUGGACUUCCAGAGCACAGUUACUGGAUAUCCACAGGACAGUACUGUCGAAGACUAAGAUGGUACUUUCAAAUAGAAUUGGAAAGGAAAUGAGAGUGAAUUUUUGCAGUGAUGCAGGGCAAGAGAAAAGGAUUGGUGUUGAAAGGAUAGUUCUGGUUGAUGAUCUCCUUUCAUGCCAACAAUAAUUUUAUAAUAAUUAUUCUGUGAUUCUGUGUGAAGCUUUCCCUGGUCAUUUGCCACCUCUUCUUGUGAUUCUGCUCCUAAAUGUGAAAACUUGGAGAAGUGAGUUUAAAAUUAUGCCAUUGAACUGGUUGUAAGAAUGGAUCACACCUAUUGGUCCUCAUUUGCUUUAUUCAGAGCCUUGUCAAUAGCAUAAAUAACUGAAUAAACAUUUCAUUAGAACGGGGUGGAUUAAACUGAAUAUAUAGGAUCUUUAAAUUAUACCCCUUCCCACUUAUUAUUUUCACUGGAAAAGAGAUGUUGAAAUUCUAAGUAAUCAUGACUAAAGUGUAAUAUGGUUUUAGAAAAAAAGCUCAAGGUCAAAUAAGCGUGAAACAUCUGGCGAGCAUUUUAUAGGAAGGGACAUUAAAGACAUUCAUCAUUCAUGCUGAUUUUUCCUCCCAGCACUGCUGCAAAUACACAAACCACUCCAGCUCCCUUCAGAUCUACUCCAUGCUGUGCCUGAUGAACCAGCCAAGAUUAGCAGUUCACCAUCUGUGGGAAAAAUUGAGUACAAAUACCUAAUAAGGUUGGGAUGUGUACAUUUGUCUCCCAAUUUAUGAUGUAGGAGCAUUGAUAUUAUGCUGCUUUAUGCGUAAAAUAUACAAUCCUCUUUGUUCAAUUCUUUAUUAGCUAGUGAACUUGCAAGUUUGCUUCAUGGAGUUAAGCAAUUUAAUUUUAAACAACAGCAUGAAUUGAUAAAUGUUACCAAUUUUAAAUAGCAAAAAGUUUAUAGUAUUUUUUUCCUGGGAAAAAAUAGAAGGGGGAAAAAGAAGACUUUUGGUCUGAAGUUUGAAUAGUGUUAUGAUGUGACUGCAUUUUUCGAAAGAAAAGAACAAAAAUUGUAGUUAUCCAAAUGCAGAAAGGUUAAUCCUACAUUAAAUGUGAAUUACGAUUAAGAGAUCCAAGAUAAUGUUAAUUUAAUAAAAUAAUUUAAAUCCAAUUAUUGCUUUAAAUCUACAUUAUACGUGAAAGAAUGCAUUUUAGGUAGCUCAACACCUCAUGCAGGUCAGUCAGGUAUCUCUGCUCCCUUUAAACUUGCACGUUUCUGUUUCCCAGAUGCCUUUGAAACUUACUUUGACCUUAUUUUCUGAGCUUCUUUUAAACUUGCAGGUUAUGUGGAAUGCAUCAUUCUAUAAUGUGAUGUCUAAAAACAGUGAUUUGGAAGUGAGGUAUGAUGUAUUAAUAUGAGAACAUCUAAUAAUACAGAAAAUCUGCUGGUCCGACACCCAAGACCCAACCAUGGCAGGUUCACUAAGUUUUACUGUGGUUCGUCACAUGUUUGGAGGGCUGUCGCCUGAAAGUAAUGAUCAUUAAUCACCAUCAAUGUUACAUAGUUCACACUAAAAAUAAAAGCACAAGGGAGAAAUCGGCCUCUGCCGCACCUUUUUUUCAGAGUGCUCAGUGGUUCAUUUGAAAUCAGGUACAGAAUUUACCUGCACUUCUGAUGGGAAAUCUGUUGGAUGUGUUUCUGACAGACAUAAACCCAAAAAAUGUUAUGAGUCAAUGCACCAAGUGGAUUGAACGCCAGCACUUUUGAACAUUGUGUUUCAGCCUAUUCUGUUUCAAUCUUUAUGAAAUGUGAAAUAAUAUGAAAGGUCUAGAACAGGGGUGGGCAAACUUUUUGACAUGUGGGCCACAAAGGGUUCUAAAAUUUGACAGGGGGGCCAGACCAGGAGCAGAUGGACGGAGUGUUUUGGUAAUACACCUCAUAAGAGAAAAUAAAAUAUCAUGGGAUAUGUAGAAAACAUGUGCUUUAAUUUCAAUUGAAAAUGAACAAAUGCAUUACAACAAAAUAUCUGUCUUUGAAGUCCCAUGGUAUUUAGCUAUUUAUUGAAAUGACUUUUAAAACACUGAAAAUUAAAUUAAUAAAAUACAGCUUUUUUAAAUAGUAACAGUUAUUAUUUUAAAGCACUGAAAAUUCUGUUAUCCUUCAAGAUAUUAUCAUCAUCACUCUCCUCCUGACUGUCUUUAUUUCAAAACCGGUAGGAGAUGCAGGUCUACUUGUCCUCCUCCUUCUUAUUCAAUAGUCCCCUGUGCCAAAACUCAACAACGACCAGCACAAAGACAGAACAAUGCCAGCGUGCCAGU